CCUACGGGGGGCAGCAGUGGGGAAUAUUGCACAAUGGGGGAAACCCUGAUGCAGCGACGCCGCGUGAGUGAAGAAGUAAUUCGGUAUGUAAAGCUCUAUCAGCAGGGAAGAAAAUGACGGUAUCUGAGUAAUAAGCACCGGCUAACUACGUGCCAGCAGCCGCGGUAAUACGUAGGGGGCAAGCGUUACUCGGAAUUACUGGGCGUAAAGGGCGCGUAGACGGGAGUGCAAGUCUGGUGUGAAAGCCGGGGGUUCAACCCCCGGACUGCAUUGGAAACUGUACGGCUGGAGUGCAGGAGAGGUAAGUGGAAUUCCUGGUGUAGCGGUGAAAUGCGUAGAUAUUAGGAGGAACACCAGUGGCGAAGGCGGCUUACUGGACUGUAACUGACGUUGAGGCGCGAAAGCGUGGGGAGCAAACAGGAUUAGAUACCCUAGUAGUC
Molecule: ribosomal RNA, 440 nt
Filed under: uncultured bacterium
Lineage: Bacteria
Description: partial 16S ribosomal RNA
Rfam family: Bacterial small subunit ribosomal RNA
Source: RNAcentral